AUGGAUGCGGGUGCUGGUAAAGGGGCGCACAUGACUCACCAUGCUACUGCAGAGGAGUAUGGAGACUACCUGCUUGCCAAUCAGUUAUCUAUGUAUCAUGAGCGCCAAUUUGAUUUGGAAUGUGGUCAGUCGAGCACGAUGCCUGGGAAGUCGUUGCAACAAUGGGUGUCGCAAGAAGUUGGUCCUCUUGUCUAUAACUACAAUGAAAUGAACAACACACAUACAAACUCUCCUAUGAUUAACAUGACCAACAGGACUAUGCCCGAGUUGUUUCUGCAGAGGAGUCCAAAUGCUGAAGCCUCAAGAACCCAUCCUACAGAAACAACUAAAAUGCAGCAAACUGGGGUGAGCUUCAUGAAUGUAUCCGGCGAUGCACCUAUGUCAUACAUGCAACUGCUGCUUGCUGCUGAACAAGAGGGGGCAAAAUAUUUCUCGUCUCAAUCACAGGAAGAACGCCUAGUUCGUACUGAGAAUGACAUGUUCAUGAUAACUGGCUGCUAUGGAAGAGGAACAUCAGAAGAACCAAGGCAACCAACUCAUGAUAACACAGGGCGAGUUUUGGUUGAACAAAAUCAGGAGCCUUUCCUGUUUGUUGACAACACAAAUAUACAAGGACUGCAUGAUUUGAUCUGGGAAACUGAUGAACCUGAUUGUGCACAGAAGCAGCCUUCAGACAAUGAACUUGACAGUGAUAGUGAAUCAGAUCAUAACCUUGGACAGCAUCAAAGAUAA
This 732-nucleotide ribosomal RNA is filed under the name Triticum aestivum (bread wheat). RNAcentral's name for it is "partial small subunit ribosomal RNA". The record is from RNAcentral. Lineage: Eukaryota; Viridiplantae; Streptophyta; Magnoliopsida; Poales; Poaceae.